CAUCCAUGCCCCAGGAAGGAGGAGCUUAGUUCAAAGUCCAGCUGAUCAAUGUUGUUACAUGCCAAGUAUUAUUAGUGUGGACAACAUAUACAAUUCUAAGUUGCCCAGUGCCCCUUUUACAGCCUCAACAACACCAAGGAUUGUCCAAGUCACGAAAACUUCUCUAAGAUCUUCUGAGUAACAGCACUUGCCAACGAGGCCACAGCAGCCAGGUUGACAUCCAUCACAUUCAAGUAGCAACUUGCAAGAGUUUGUUUUAAAAAACGCAUUUUGUGAGUAAGCAUUGAAGUUGAAGUUCAAAGCAAGCAUCCGUGCAUUCCAGGCCGUGCACAGGCACACAUCUGGGAGAAGGGAGAGGUAUCACUAAUGUUUUCAGGUAAGACCUUUU
This 388-nucleotide long non-coding RNA is filed under the name Struthio camelus australis. Its description in RNAcentral is "lncRNA (ENSSCUG00000004288.1)". The record is from RNAcentral. Lineage: Eukaryota; Metazoa; Chordata; Aves; Struthioniformes; Struthionidae.